Molecule: ribosomal RNA, 497 nt
Filed under: uncultured bacterium
Lineage: Bacteria
Description: partial 16S ribosomal RNA
Rfam family: Bacterial small subunit ribosomal RNA
Source: RNAcentral
GAUGAACGCUGGCGGCGUGCCUAAUACAUGCAAGUCGAGCGAACAGACGAGGAGCUUGCUCCUCUGACGUUAGCGGCGGACGGGUGAGUAACACGUGGAUAACCUACCUAUAAGACUGGGAUAACUUCGGGAAACCGGAGCUAAUACCGGAUAAUAUAUUGAACCGCAUGGUUCAAUAGUUAAAGACGGCUUUGCUGUCACUUAUAGAUGGAUCCGCGCCGCAUUAGCUAGUUGGUAAGGUAACGGCUUACCAAGGCAACGAUGCGUAGCCGACCUGAGAGGAUGAUCGGCCACACUGGAACUGAGACACGGUCCAGACUCCUACGGGAGGCAGCAGUAGGGAAUCUUCCGCAAUGGGCGAAAGCCUGACGGAGCAACGCCGCGUGAGUGAUGAAGGUCUUCGGAUCGUAAAACUCUGUUAUUAGGGAAGAACAAAUGUGUAAGUAACUAUGCACGUCUUGACGGUACCUAAUCAGAAAGCCACGGCUAACUACGUG